CAUAGCGAUGUAUGCAAGAUUGAACGAUAAUUUUCAAUUUGUCCUCAAUUGAAUAAAUAAAUAGCGGAUAAAACAAACUGGACAUAAAACGAAUUAAUAAUAUUAUUAUUAAUUUAUGUUCUGUCACGCAUAUGAUUUUGUUCCUGGGAUUGAGAUGGAUUUCAGCAUUAUAAAUUGAACGCAACGCCAGACGAAGCACAUAGUUACAGCGUAACCUCAUCAUGAAAAUUCUGAAGGCAUUCAUGUUGCUAGCCAUAGUCACCUUGUGGCUCUGCACUGACCAAUGUAUGGCAAUCCGGCGAGGAAGGCGAGCCAACUCAGCCAACAAAAGGAAGGAAUUUUGUUUCGGACCCACAAACACAUGCAAAUACAUAAAAGACGACGUGACUGCCAGGGUAGCAGUGUUGUCAGAGGAUGGCUCCCUCUGUGCAUGUGGGCAGAAGGCGUUUAUUAAUUUUAGACCGCGAUAAACGGGUCUAGAUCAGCUGUAUAAUUUUCCUGAAUAAAAUAUCCAUGG
Long non-coding RNA from Cydia fagiglandana, 517 nucleotides. RefSeq lists it as uncharacterized. The record is from RefSeq and is a predicted model, not a curated record. The transcript has 2 exons. Lineage: Eukaryota; Metazoa; Arthropoda; Insecta; Lepidoptera; Tortricidae.